This 497-nucleotide ribosomal RNA is filed under the name uncultured bacterium. RNAcentral describes it as "partial 16S ribosomal RNA". It matches the Rfam family "Bacterial small subunit ribosomal RNA", at positions 28 to 507 of the family's 1533-position model. The record is from RNAcentral.
GAUGAACGCUGGCGGCGUGCCUAAUACAUGCAAGUCGAGCGAACAGAUGAGGAGCUUGCUCCUCUGACGUUAGCGGCGGACGGGUGAGUAACACGUGGAUAACCUACCUAUAAGACUGGGAUAACUUCGGGAAACCGGAGCUAAUACCGGAUAAUAUAUUGAACCGCAUGGUUCAAUAGUGAAAGACGGUUUUGCUUUCACUUAUAGAUGGACCCGCGCCGCAUUAGCUAGUUGGUAAGGUAACGGCUUACCAAGGCAACGAUGCGUAGCCGACCUGAGAGGGUGAUCGGCCACACUGGAACUGAGACACGGUCCAGACUCCUACGGGAGGCAGCAGUAGGGAAUCUUCCGCAAUGGGCGAAAGCCUGACGGAGCAACGCCGCGUGAGUGAUGAAGGUCUUCGGAUCGUAAAACUCUGUUAUUAGGGAAGAACAAAUGUGUAAGUAACUAUGCACGUCUUGACGGUACCUAAUCAGAAAGCCACGGCUAACUACGUG